Odontomachus brunneus is the source of this 1437-nucleotide long non-coding RNA. RefSeq lists it as uncharacterized. The record is from RefSeq and is a predicted model, not a curated record. The transcript is spliced from 7 exons. Lineage: Eukaryota; Metazoa; Arthropoda; Insecta; Hymenoptera; Formicidae.
AGGAGAACCAAUGAGAGUUCUCACCUGAUGAUCGUUAACAGUCCGCAAACAUGCUGCACCAUGAUGACAAACAUUGUAUCUGUCGCAACACCUAUGGUCACAAUAAUGGCGACCAUGAUAUAUCCGUGAAGCAAAAUUGCCGAUGUUCAGAUAUGAUCGAUCACGUUUCAACGUCCCCCGGCUUGGGAACUUCUCCGAUGUUCUGCGUAACGUCGACAUUCGUUUCCUUACACACGUCGGAAAGGAUAUUAUCUUCGCACGAACGCAUGUGGAAUUGGCUGUCAUUAUGUCAAAAUGACAUUCGCAGUAAGUUCGUCGAUUUGUUACAAAUACAUGCACAGCUAGUACUCUUCUGAUAUCCGUGGAAAAUUGCGAUUUUCUUUGGGUACAAAGACGUGAGCGACUCUUGUAAACGUCCUGGUGUUUGAAAUAUAAAACAAUUUAAAAAAGAACUUUGAGCGAGUUUAUUUAUAGGAUAUAUUCUAUAUGUUAGAUAAAUAAACAAUAAGUAUAUAUUUACAUUAUAUAUUUGUUCACGUUAGAUAAGUGAACAAGAAGUAUAUUUAUGUAAAACUGUUUAAUGGAAUGUUAUAUAAAAUGUUGAUAAAGGAGUAUGAGAUGUGCGUUGUACGUUCGAAUGAUUCGAUUUAGAAAUUUUCAGCACGCAUUCUCUCUCUUUCUGAUUUGAUCUUUCUAAUUUUGGACAUUCUCUUGUUAAUUGCCUUCAUCUGUUAGGUUUCCAGGGCUUUUACGGACACGCCGUACUUUUACAAAUAUCCAGUUUGUUUUAAGCGUCACAGCAUUUAUACAAUGUAUAUUUUUACCGUUUUUUUACAUCACAUGAUGAAGACGAAGAAGGAGCCGUUAUUAUGCCGGUCCUGCGAGUUAUCCUUUGAACGUGACAUGCGAAGAGAGGCAGUUCGAUAGCUCCACAACCGCCGAGGACAAUUCGUGUUUCUCAUCGGAACUCGACCUUCUAAAUCCGAGAGUGACACGGUCUUGUCGAAGUCGCGAGUCACGCGUCCAGCAUUAAGGAACGAGGUGAACGAUCAAUUGAAUCUCCUCGAGCCGCCAUCGAGAUCGUCACGUUGUUGUCAGGGUCGUUCGUUGACAGAAAAAUCGCAGCAAAAUUACGUAAGUGAUGCACAGAAGAAGUUACCUUACGUGGAAACCAAUUACAACUUAAAAAACUCAACUCAACUGAGUACGAAAUUUAUACCAGAAAUGGCAGAGAAGCAGCCGGCUCAAUCAACGGCUCAUCAGCUACCAUCGAUGAAUGAAGUACCACUCGCCUCACUAGGUUUACUAGGACUAGGUUAGACUAGGACAAACGAGCAACCAAUCAAUUGGGAAAAUAUAAUUCUCCCGGAAAAGACAGAUUUGUAUCGGGAAUUAGCUAAGCGUAUCACCAACUACAAAAAUGCCGAUUGCGUCAUC